RNAcentral lists this long non-coding RNA (973 nucleotides) under Heterocephalus glaber (naked mole-rat). RNAcentral's name for it is "lncRNA (ENSHGLG00100034595.1)". Lineage: Eukaryota; Metazoa; Chordata; Mammalia; Rodentia; Bathyergidae. The record is from RNAcentral.
CUAGUGUUGAUUGUACAAUACCAUAUUUAGCUACAGGUAGACACUGAGUUGCUUCUAGUUAUUGUCAGAGCAAACACACUGCCAGGGAUAAUGUCAUAUGUACUUGCAUGAUGUACAUGCACAUGCUUUUGCAGAUACCUAGAACUGGUUCUAAACAUGGACUUGCUGGCUCAAAUUACACGUGCAUUUGUAAUUCCGACAAGUUUUACCACAUUGUCUUCCGUAGAUGGUGGUGGUAGCCAUUUGUGAUCCCACUAGCAACAAAUAAAAGUCUCUUUCCCUAAGGCUGGCUCAAGUUUUGAAGAACUUCAGAAUAGAAAUUAUUCCACUCUGCACCGAUUUGUAGGGGAAAGAAGCAUUGCUUUAUUUUAUUCUCUGAUCACUUUGUAACCUUGCUACUGCUUGCCUCUUGCUUUCUGCAAGAGUAGCCAAGUUACUUAAGAACUUACACCUUAAUUUCCUUACCUCUAAAAUAGGACUGUAAGAAAACCUAUCACUUUUGAUAGUUGGGAGAAUUCCAGGAGCACACCAAGCAUAAUGUGCUCUUCAGACAGAGCUACGGUAGAAGUGCAUGCCCACAUCACAAACCGCAAAGGCACUGAACAUUUUCUUGGAAGAGGAUGAAUCUUGGUUCUAGAUGACUUCCUGUUGACUCAUGGAGGACUCAGGCAUACCACAGUGGAUGCUGGCAACUUAAAAUAAUAAAAAGAAUGGAGCUCCAAUUCAGGUAAGUUUUCAUCAUGCUCAAGGCAAAAUUUCUGGUCUUGCCGAGUGCUUGAAUUAUCCUCAAUUAGAAUCUCCAGCUCCCUGCUGCUGUUGCUUGUUGCUCUAAUUAUUCUGCCAUCGUUAAUUCAAUGAGGCCUAUUAACCUACAUCAGAUAGUGUAUUUAUCUAUGAUGUGCAGUACCUGCUCUUCUAGACAAGCAGUUGUCAUACUCCAGGCCUGCUGUCUCUGUCAAGGUCCAAUAUUGUC